CAGCAGCCGCGGUAAAACGAAGGGUGCAAGCGUUACUCGGAAUUACUGGGCGUAAAGCGUGCGUAGGCGGUUUGUUAAGUCUGCUGUGAAAUCCCCGGGCUCAACCUGGGAAUGGCAGUGGAUACUGGCAAGCUAGAGUGUGUCAGAGGAUGGUGGAAUUCCCGGUGUAGCGGUGAAAUGCGUAGAGAUCGGGAGGAACAUCAGUGGCGAAGGCGGCCAUCUGGGACAACACUGACGCUGAGGCACGAAAGCGUGGGGAGCAAACAGGAUUAGAUACCCCGGUAGUCCCUGUCUCUUAUAC
Molecule: ribosomal RNA, 301 nt
Filed under: uncultured bacterium
Lineage: Bacteria
Description: partial 16S ribosomal RNA
Rfam family: Bacterial small subunit ribosomal RNA
Source: RNAcentral